AUACGUAGGGUGCGAGCGUUGUCCGGAAUUACUGGGCGUAAAGCGCUCGUAGGUGGUUUGUCGCGUCGUCUGUGAAAUUCCGGGGCUUAACUCCGGGCGUGCAGGCGAUACGGGCAUCACUUGAGUACUGUAGGGGAGACUGGAAUUCCUGGUGUAGCGGUGAAAUGCGCAGAUAUCAGGAGGAACACCGGUGGCGAAGGCGGGUCUCUGGGCAGUAACUGACGCUGAGGAGCGAAAGCAUGGGUAGCGAACAGGAUUAGAUACCCUGGUAGUCCAUGCCGGAAACGGUGGGCGCUAGGUGUAGGGGUCUUCCACGACUUCUGUGCCGUAGCUAACGCAUUAAGCGCCCCGCCUGGGGAGUACGGCCGCAAGGCUAAAACUCAAAUGAAUUGACGGGG
RNAcentral lists this ribosomal RNA (398 nucleotides) under uncultured bacterium. RNAcentral describes it as "partial 16S ribosomal RNA". It matches the Rfam family "Bacterial small subunit ribosomal RNA", at positions 523 to 918 of the family's 1533-position model. The record is from RNAcentral.